Molecule: long non-coding RNA, 1356 nt
Organism: Sorghum bicolor (sorghum)
Lineage: Eukaryota; Viridiplantae; Streptophyta; Magnoliopsida; Poales; Poaceae
Exons: 2
Source: RefSeq, a predicted model, not a curated record
UCCCUGCUCCAGCCGCAGACCACUCAACAGGAGGAGAGGGCGGCCGUGACUAACUGGCCUGAAGCUCAGCGACCAUCAAGGCAGAAAUGCACAGGCGCCGCCGCUUGCCAUGCUGGUGGUGGGCAGCAAGGCCUCGGUAGCCCCACGUGGAGCCUCACGGCGCGUGGCCGGCCUGGAUGGCCCUGCAGCGGCACUCAGCGCGAGCGCACGGCUCAUGGCGCGGCCGUGGCCCACGGACAGCACGGAGGUCAGAUCCGUGUGCGGCCUUAAGCGGGCGCGAGCGGCACGGCCACGGCCCCGCAUAUGGCCCGUGCGCCUACGCUCGCUGCAUGGGGUCCGCGCGACGUGGAGGCUCGGCCCCGACGUGCGCAUCGACCACGACGCGGCCACGACCCCUGCGUGGAGGCUCGCGGAUGAGUGUCGGCGGCUCUCACAGGUCGCCUGAGAGGAGACGAUGGGUCUCAAAGACAUGCUGGGUCGAAACCCUAGCGAGAUAAGCAAUCACGUCCCCCCUUUUGGUCAUGUCCUCUCUGACUGUAGAUUGAGGUUGUGUUGUCUAGUUAAUUGUUGUUCUAGAUCUGGCAUCAUUGGUAUACUCGUGCAUACUUGUAAGUGCUCUACUGGUUAUGCCUCAGAGGCUUGUUAAUUUUUCAUUUACCCUACUAGAUUUGCAUGAUAAUUAGGAGGAAUUUUGGAUGGUAGGCAGCAUGUUCAGUUCAGGCUACAUUAGUCGUGUGCAGCAAAAUUUUAGAUAUAGAGGCUUAGGAGGAAAUGUGUUAUUAAAAUAUGCCUUAUCAGUCUACUGUGUGAUUGAUUGAACUUGAAACCUCAAAAAAAUAAGUUGUAGAUAAGCAUCAGGUUCUAUUUUACAAAUUUAUGUGCAAUGUUUUUCUGCUGCAAGAAUCUAAGUUCUGAAAACAACCCAUUAUUCUGUCAAAAUGGUGCUUAUUGUGGACUAUUCUAUUGUCUUAAUAGGUUUCAUACAAGUAUUUCUGAAUGAAUGCUUAUGGACUAUUCAUCAAGUAUUUCUGAAAACUGAAUGCAUAUAUUUCUGGACAAUGGACUGCCAUUGGUAUACAACAUGGCUGUGAACUGAACAUUGAGGUGCCAAUUUCAAAUUUGCAGUGUAGAAAUCAUGGCGAAGAAGAUUGCUACAAGUGACAUAACAUUUUCAUGAGCCAAGUGAAGCGUGCAUUCGUGCAGAAUAGCUUUCUGCUAGCAUUUUGUAAUUGUAGCACUUGUGUUAAGUUAUAGCUGAUGUUAGUUUCAUGUUUUGGAUGAUGGUAGAGAAUCUGAUACAUUUUUCCUAUGUAAUUGCUGUUAUCAUAUACUGUUAAGAUAUAUUUCUGCAAUGUC